UAAAUCCUGAAAUGUUCGAUGGAUCUAUAAUUGUUCAACCUACAGAUUAAUUCCGGGAUUAUCGACAUAAUUAUGGAAGUGGAGCUUUGUAUCAGAAAGUUGACUGAAGUAAUUUGAGAUAAACCCACCUGCUAGAGUGCGGGUGUGAACAAAUAGAUUACCGGCAUUUUGGGAUUUUU
Molecule: non-coding RNA, 179 nt
Filed under: Clostridium bornimense
Lineage: Bacteria; Bacillati; Bacillota; Clostridia; Eubacteriales; Clostridiaceae
Description: 6S / SsrS RNA
Rfam family: 6S / SsrS RNA
About the family: E. coli 6S RNA was the first non coding RNA to be sequenced, but its function was unknown until recently.
Source: Rfam by way of RNAcentral